AAAAAACAUACAAAAUAACACCCAAAAAAUACACUAGCCUGAAUGGAAUAGGAACGCCAUUCGCAACAGACCCUACCCCUGCCCCCCAUAUUUCAUCUUCCUCGCUCCACCAAACGACCCUCUGUUCAAAACACACCGAGCUUCAGCCGCAGGCCACCCUUCCCCUAAAGGUUUUCUUCUGGAGACACUCACAAAGAUUAAACAAAAAGGAUCCCUCCUUCUUCACUUAUUAAACCUUGAGCACCUAACAUGGAACCCUAGAGCAGAGAGGCCCAAGCCAUUUCUGAUCUAAAUCCAGUGACCCUUCAAUGAACUUUAUCACAAAUACACACAAACACACAGAGAUACGCAUUUGUUUCAGUUUCGUUAUGAUGAUUUCAAUUUUCAGUUUUGCUAUGGAGUUCCUCUAAAUUUCAAAUGUUCGCUUGUUCUGAUUUGAAUGGAGAUUGAUUCAAUAUUUGGGAUGGAGUUUGUUUGAGCUUUAUUUCUUCUUUGUUGGUUUGAUGGUGACUAUUCGAGGUCGAAGUUCGCGGUUCCGUGGACCGAUUUCGUUGCUGCUUAUUUCGUCGUAUUUUGUGGUACCAGUUUUGGGGUAGCUACGCUGGAUUUGUGCGUAUCUACGGGUAGUAGAGAACUCAGACAGAAUUGUGAAAUAAAUUAGGAUAGAGGUUAACUGGAAUUUCAGUUUUUUUAGGCUCUAAAUUAUUGAUGCAUAUAUAAAGAGAUUUAAGUUUUUUUCAGCUUUCAUGUUUUCGAUUUCACAUAUAAGGAC
This 772-nucleotide long non-coding RNA is filed under the name Nicotiana benthamiana. RNAcentral's name for it is "long non-coding RNA (NBEN_LNC040718)". Lineage: Eukaryota; Viridiplantae; Streptophyta; Magnoliopsida; Solanales; Solanaceae. The record is from RNAcentral.